Molecule: long non-coding RNA, 637 nt
Organism: Gasterosteus aculeatus aculeatus (three-spined stickleback)
Lineage: Eukaryota; Metazoa; Chordata; Actinopteri; Perciformes; Gasterosteidae
Source: Ensembl
GAUUGAUGCUAAAACCUGUUGACGUUUAAUGACCUUCAAAUAACAUUCUGACCCAAGCUUUUAGUUUUAAUGCCUUUUAGCACGUGUUGGCUCUGGAUUGAGUGAAGAACAGAGGUCUCUUUGCCUCUUCUUUCCUUUAAACAAACCAACUUCUCUCCUUCCUCUAUAAACAUUUGAAAACCGUUUUCUUUCUUAAUCGCGUGACUCCUGCGUUGUUCAGAUUCACUCUUGUUCUCCUUUGCCUCCUUGUGCUUUAACGCGUAACCACGGCAACGGGAGAAAGUAACGUAACUAAAGUGGACGCUGAACUGAACCUCCUCGGGUCUGAACUAAACCAAAAGCUGUCUUCAUGUGGCCGAGCAGCCUGGCGAAGAUCAGAAGAGGAGACACAGAACCAAGACACAGAACGCCGGGACAGUUUCCUUGGCUCUUUACGCCACACAAUCCUUCCCCGUCCUUAUCGGUCCUCAUCAGCCCCCUCGGCCCGUCCAUCCGUCCACCUCAAUGACAAUCAAAGGCCUCUGGGGCUCAGCGGAGAGCCACAAAGUCGUCUUCUGACCACUUGAAGUGCUUCAAAAUCAUGACGUCAUUCACCCAUUCAUCAGGACUAACACUAUCACAACUUCCCGAGGCCACG